GGCUGACGUUUUCUCGAGAUCGAAAAAAUUAGAAAAUUUAAAAUGGAAAAUAACGAGGGAUAUUUUGAAAGGGAUUUGGAGCUCGAAUCUCUUCUCUCUCUCCAAAUCUUCCCAAAUCCCUAGCCCUCAAUCUCUCUGCUCUUCUCGUCUUCUAGGGUUUCGUUGAUAUCCCCCUGUCAAUGCCGGCGACGGCCACGACGACAGCGAUGGUGACGACGACGGCGGUGGUGGGGCAAGGCCUCCACCCGGCCGAGUGCGGCGGCGACGGCUGCGACUCCCGGAACCCCUGGCCGCUCCACAACGUCCGCUAUCGCGGCGUCUUCUGCCGCCUCUGCACCUCCUGCGUCCUCAGAUACCACCAUGGAUCCUUCUGCUCCACCUGCUUUGACAUCCUUGACGGCGCCGCCGCCACCGCCGGUGGCGGAGGCCCCUCGCCGGCAGACCGCCCCGUCGUCCAAUGUUCCAAGUGCCCCUCCGUCUCUCACCUCGCCUGCCUCCCCGCCCCCGAGCUCGCUGCCCAGUUUGUCUGCCCUAGCUGCAAGAACCCCGAUGACUUCUCCUACUUCCCUGUCUCCAUGCGAGAAGAGACUGCCAGUGAAGGCGAGAAGCCAUCAGAUGGAAGUCUGAAGAUUGACUCUUCCAACGCGAAGGUGCUUCUUGCCGCUGCGCAGCUGGCGGCAGCUUCGAUGAGCAGAGCGGCGGCGGCCGCGAGGGUUGAGGCCGAGCGGAAGGUUAAGGAGGCCGCGAUGGCAAGGAAGAGGGCGAGGGAGAUGCUUGAGACAGCUUGUGUAGUUUCCAAGAAAGAAAAGGAAAAGCAAGCCAAGGUGGAGCAAGAGACAGCAUUGGUAUCCAAGCCAGAGGAGGUGGAGCCAAAGAAGAAAAUACUGCAGCCGAGCGGGACUGUUGCUGCUGUCCUGGCAGCACAGAAGAGGAUCCAGAAUAGGGAGAGGGAGAAGCUGAAGAAGUUCCAUGAUCCACUCAUUAUGGGGCAGAGGCCAGCGCAGGGAAUUGCAGAGAACGAUAAGUCUCAUGGGACUUCAAUGUCUGGCCCGAAGGAUGUCUCGGGGAACGUGAAGAACGAAGGCGGCACUGAUCAGGAAAAGAGAAAUUUAAUAAAGAAUGCUGGUAAUGGUACCAGGGGAGCUCAAUAGAUUCGAGGUGAAGAUUCAUCAAUCUCCAGAACUAAAACAGGAACUUUUACUGGUCUGUGAAAGACAGCUAAUCAGUGUUCAGUAGUUGCUUUUUGGCCACAUGCCUGGAGCUUGGCCAUGCAAGGCUGGAUGCUGAAGUCUGAGCCAUCCUCGUUGCUGCAUCGCUUCCCCUCACGUGUCACGGCCUUCAUGUAAUUGUUGAUCAAAAGCUCCUUUUCCCUUUUUUUUUUUUGUUGUAGUCUCAAUGUCAGAGGACCCGAUAUGGUGUGUGGUGUUGAGGUAUGAUUUUUUCCCCUCUUUCUUAAUCUUUUUCAUCUUUUUUGUGAUUUGUAAUCUUAGACUCAGAUUUCCAGUAACAAUAAAAAUGAGGCGGCAAUUGGGGAAAGCAGUUUUUCCUAUUUUGUCAAAGGUGAUUUAUGCAUACUCAAAAGUGAACAGCACAAUGGUUCUUAUCGGUACGGUUAUGAUGCAUUUAUGGGGGAUCAAAAAUAUGUAGUUUGUAAAGAGCCGUCUGCUCCAAAGUUUGAUAUUUUAUAUGUUUAUUGUUAAGAUAGUUGGGAUUGGAUUACUGAGAAGAGCCAGUAAUUACCGUCUGCUAGGAGGAAGGAAGACUCAGACGCAAAUGUUGACAUGCACACAUCAUGGGAAGGCAGCUAGUUUUAAAAUAACAGCUGUCCAUGGUUGGGGAUCCUCUUUGUUCUGUCAUGUAUAUGAACACAAGGGGAAGAAAAGAUAAUGGAUGUUAUAAAGGAUUAUGUCGUAUUAGAGUGAUUGUUUAACAAAAAUAUUGACUUUAUUUUUAUAAUUUGUAUUGCUUCUUAAAACAGGACAAUAUCUCUUUUCAAAUUUCAAAUUUUUGUACUAAUUUUUCGUGCAAGAGAGAUUGUACAGCCAGAAAAUGAUAAUUCUUUGUUGAAUAAUUAUUUGGAAAAUAAUAUCAUUAUUUCCUAUUAUAACAG
This is a non-coding RNA of Elaeis guineensis (African oil palm), 2110 nucleotides long. The record is from RefSeq and is a predicted model, not a curated record. Lineage: Eukaryota; Viridiplantae; Streptophyta; Magnoliopsida; Arecales; Arecaceae.